CCCUUAGACGUUCUGGGCCGCACGCGCGCCACACUGACCGGUGCAACAAGCAUCCGUCCUUGGCCGACAGGCCCGGGCAAUCUUUGAACGCCGGUCGUGAUGGGGAUAGACUUUUGCAAUUUUUGGUCUUCAACGAGGAAUUCCUAGUAAACGCAAGUCAUCAACUUGCAUUGAUUACGUCCCUGCCCUUUGUACACACCGCCCGUCGCACCUACCGAUUGAAUGGUCCGGUGAAGCCUCCGGAUUGGCGCGCACCUCGGUGCCGCCGAGAAGUUGGCUAAACCUUACCAUUUAGAGGAAGGUGAAGUCGUAACA
This 315-nucleotide ribosomal RNA is filed under the name uncultured eukaryote. RNAcentral describes it as "partial 18S ribosomal RNA". It matches the Rfam family "Eukaryotic small subunit ribosomal RNA", at positions 1470 to 1796 of the family's 1831-position model. The record is from RNAcentral.